CCCAAGGUAGGCAGCUUCCCGCUCCUCGUCUUGGGACCUAAACCCAGGAAGUCAAAUGUCCUUUUCUAGCAGGUCGCCUGGUUAGAGGCCGUGGACGAAGCGGUCCAGGCACAGCCAGCUGCAGGGCGCGGCCUCGGCGGCGCUGCUCGUGGCCCUGGUCAGUGAGCGCACUCACUCCUGGACUAAGCUCUAUGCAACUCAUUUUCAUCUAGCAUUACCUCUCCAAAACCUGAAUCUCCACAAGAAAGCCACACAGCAAUUAACCAGUGUUGCAAGAACUGCUUCUGUAAUAAAGGUGGGAAGACAAAUUGAUGCAACCCUCUUGAAAAGCAAUCUGGCAAUAUGAACCAAGAGCCAUGAAAAGGCUUAUGCUAUUAUAAUUAAAUGGCUGUAAUGUUGGCUGUAAAUAUGAAAUUUUCUUUCACACACCAAUGUUUUCAAGAAUGGCAUAUUCACAUGCAGUAUGUGACAUUGCUUGGUGAAGUUCCAAAAAUACAUGGCAAGAGAAGAAUUGAAGAGCAAAGAAUUCAUGCAAAACUGGUUUCAGCAAGUACAACUAUGGUCCAAGGGAACUAUGCCCAUUUCUCCUUCAUGCUUACAGGAUCCCAUUAGUUCAACUUCAGUUUUUCUUAGUUCCUAUUACUAAGACUUCUUUAACUUAUACUAUGUAGAUUUAGUUUUAACUCUAUACGCAGAAGUUGAAACUUAUUCAGCAUGAAUUAAACAUUUAUUAAGUACGCA
RNAcentral lists this long non-coding RNA (741 nucleotides) under Homo sapiens (human). RNAcentral describes it as "long intergenic non-protein coding RNA 3076". The record is from RNAcentral. Lineage: Eukaryota; Metazoa; Chordata; Mammalia; Primates; Hominidae.